GAAUAUUCCUAUAUAAAAACAGGAGCUUUGGAUCAGUGGGUGAAGGGUACUAGCAGGUAAGUACACCCAUGUGUAACCUCAGGGCAGAAUUCUUCACACUGAGAAAACAAAAAACUUUCAAAGAUUCUAGCUGGAUGCCUCACUGGUUUCAUUUCAUCAUCCAAUUAACUGAUGUCAUUGUACCUGGACCUCUCCCCCUUAGCUGUCCCUGGUAUCUCUCCUAGGGCCCUUGAGGGACCCUACCAAUAAUUACUUAAAUAUGAACACACACACACACACACACACACGUUUUCUCUAGUUUCGUACUUUAGGGAUUGAACUGGAAUGUUCUGGAAUGGGAACACACCAAAUGGAGGGUAUAGGAAUUAACUACCCUGAUCAGGUGGAGAAUACAUGGUUCUACUCCACUCACUAUGUGGGGAACAUAGGGACCACCUCCCUCAUGGGGUGAAUGACACAGGGACCUACUUCCCUCAGUGGGGAGGGCAUGGAGAUCUACACCCCUAAUCUAGCAGAGAACACAGUGAUCCAUUUCCCAAACUGAGCCAAAGGCACAGGGAUAUCCAUAUAUAUUUUCAUAUAUGGGUUCAUAGAUUCAUAUGUAGUAUAUUCAUAUAUAUGUUCAUAUACACACACACAUGUUUUCUCUAGUUUCGUGCUUCAGGGAUUGAACUGGAAUGUUCUGGAAUGGGAAAACAUUAUAAGGAAUGUACAGGGAUUAACUCCCCUGAUAGGUGUAGGAUGCAUGGUUCUAUUUUACUAACCAGGUGAAAGACAUGAAGAUCCCUCCCUUCAUGGGGUGAAGGACACAGGAUCCUACACCCCCUAUGGGGACAAUUCCUAACACAAGGUAGAGGGCGUGGAGAUCAACUCCCUUCAUCUAGCGUAGGGCUAGAUAUAUAUACAUAUAUUCAUGUAUAUAUGUAUGAAUAUAUUAACAUAUCUAUACAUAUAGCUACACAUAUGACAUACUUAUGUCUUCUUCA
RNAcentral lists this long non-coding RNA (986 nucleotides) under Marmota monax (woodchuck). The record is from RNAcentral. Lineage: Eukaryota; Metazoa; Chordata; Mammalia; Rodentia; Sciuridae.